RNAcentral lists this ribosomal RNA (448 nucleotides) under uncultured bacterium. RNAcentral's name for it is "SSU rRNA". It matches the Rfam family "Bacterial small subunit ribosomal RNA", at positions 26 to 518 of the family's 1533-position model. The record is from RNAcentral.
AGAGCGAACGCUGGCGGCAGGCCUAACACAUGCAAGUCGAGCGCCCGUAGCAAUACGGGAGCGGCAGACGGGAUAGUAACACGUGGGAACGCGCCCUUCGGUUCGGAAUAACUCAGGGAAACUUGAGCUAAUACCGGAUACGCCCUUACGGGAAAAGAUUUAUUGCCGAAGGAACGGCCCGCGUCCGAUUAGCUAGUUGGUGAGGUAAUGGCUCACCAAGGCGACGAUCGGUAGCUGGUCUGAGAGGAUGACCAGCAUCACUGGGACUGAGACACGGCCCAGACUCCUACGGGAGGCAGCAGUGGGGAAUAUUGGACAAUGGGCGCAAGCCUGAUCCAGCCAUGCCGCGUGGAUGAUGAAGGCCUUAGGGUUGUAAAGUCCUUUUAACGGGGAAGAUAAUGACGGUACCCGUAGAAUAAGCCCCGGCUAACUUCGCGCCAGCAGCCGC